Molecule: ribosomal RNA, 459 nt
Filed under: uncultured bacterium
Lineage: Bacteria
Description: bacterial SSU rRNA
Rfam family: Bacterial small subunit ribosomal RNA
Source: RNAcentral
AGAGUUUGAUCCUGGCUCAGAAUGAACGCUGGCGGCGUGCCUAACACAUGCAAGUCGGAUGUGCCGCAAGGUGCAUGGCAGACGGGUGAGUAACGCGUGGGGAAUCUACCUCUUUGUGGGGAAUAACGCUCCGAAAGGAGUGGUAAUACCGCAUGAGACCUUCGGCUGGGAUGCUGGAGGUGAAACCUGGGGACCGCAAGGCCUGGGGCAAGGAGAGGAUCCUGCGUCUGAUUAGCUAGUUGGCGGGGUAAUGGCCCACCAAGGCGACGAUCAGUAGCCGGCCUGAGAGAGUGAUCGGCCACACUGGAACUGAGACACGGUCCAGACUCCUACGGGAGGCAGCAGUGGGGAAUUUUGCGCAAUGGACGAGAGUCUGACGCAGCAACGCCGCGUGGGUGAUGAAGGUCUUCGGACUGUAAAACCCUGUCGUCAGGGACGAAGGUGGCACGACUAAUAAUC